GGGCCUGUAGCUCAGCUUGGAUAGAGCGGCAGCCUUCUAAGCUGAAGGUCGUGGGUUCAAAGAACCUUUCUUCGGGUUGCCA
RNAcentral lists this transfer RNA (82 nucleotides) under Microcaldota archaeon. RNAcentral's name for it is "Candidatus Micrarchaeota archaeon (hot springs metagenome) tRNA-Arg". It matches the Rfam family "tRNA", at positions 1 to 62 of the family's 71-position model. Rfam says of the family: Transfer RNA (tRNA) molecules are approximately 80 nucleotides in length. Their secondary structure includes four short double-helical elements and three loops (D, anti-codon, and T loops). Further hydrogen bonds mediate the characteristic L-shaped molecular structure. tRNAs have two regions of fundamental functional importance: the anti-codon, which is responsible for specific mRNA codon recognition, and the 3' end, to which the tRNAs corresponding amino acid is attached (by aminoacyl-tRNA synthetases). tRNAs cope with the degeneracy of the genetic code in two manners: having more than one tRNA (with a specific anti-codon) for a particular amino acid; and 'wobble' base-pairing, i.e. permitting non-standard base-pairing at the 3rd anti-codon position. The record is from RNAcentral. Lineage: Archaea; Nanobdellati; Microcaldota.